CGUGUAGGCGGUCAGGUAAGUGGAAUGUGAAAUGCCCCGGCUCACCCGGGGACCCGGCAUCCCAAACUGCCUGGCUUGAGUAUGGGAGAGGAUGGAGGAAUUCCUGGUGUAGCGGUGAAAUGCGUAGAUAUCAGGAGGAACACCGGUGGCGAAGGCGUCCAUCUGGCCCAAUACUGACGCUGAGGCGCGAAAGCUAGGGGAGCAAACG
This 208-nucleotide ribosomal RNA is filed under the name uncultured Latescibacterota bacterium. Its description in RNAcentral is "uncultured Latescibacteria bacterium partial 16S ribosomal RNA". It matches the Rfam family "Bacterial small subunit ribosomal RNA", at positions 568 to 774 of the family's 1533-position model. Lineage: Bacteria; Pseudomonadati; Candidatus Latescibacterota. The record is from RNAcentral.